RNAcentral lists this ribosomal RNA (471 nucleotides) under uncultured bacterium. Its description in RNAcentral is "bacterial SSU rRNA". It matches the Rfam family "Bacterial small subunit ribosomal RNA", at positions 355 to 825 of the family's 1533-position model. The record is from RNAcentral.
UGGGGAAUUGUUCGCAAUGGGCGCAAGCCUGACGACGCAACGCCGCGUGGAGGAUGAAGGUCUUCGGAUUGUAAACUCCUGUUGAUCGGGGCGAAAAGCUUCAACCUAAUACGUUGAAGACUGACGGUACCGGUUGAGGAAGCCACGGCUAACUCUGUGCCAGCAGCCGCGGUAAUACAGAGGUGGCAAGCGUUGUUCGGAAUUACUGGGCGUAAAGGGCGCGUAGGCGGCCUCCUAAGUCGGACGUGAAAGCCCCAGGCUUAACCUGGGAACUGCGUCUGAUACUGGGAGGCUUGGAUUCGGGAGAGGGAUGUGGAAUUCCAGGUGUAGCGGUGAAAUGCGUAGAUAUCUGGAGGAACACCGGUGGCGAAGGCGGCAUCCUGGACCGAGAUCGACGCUGAGGCGCGAAAGCUAGGGGAGCAAACGGGAUUAGAUACCCCCGUAGUCCCUGAGCGGGCUGGCAAGGCGCAU